RNAcentral lists this small RNA (161 nucleotides) under human gut metagenome. RNAcentral's name for it is "Clostridiales-1 RNA". It matches the Rfam family "Clostridiales-1 RNA". The record is from RNAcentral.
GAUACAAGGGGAAAAAGUCAUAGCUCGUUCCUGCUUGCAGGAUAAGAGCUAUGUCUUAUUGACCCGAACACACAUGAGGAAGUAGUGAUUUUCCCUGGAAAAUCAACGGAUUCCGAAUGUGUGUAGAAUUGCGGGAGUUGCAUGGCAACGGAGCAAUUCGU